AACUGAUACUACCUGCGGGAACCUGCGGAGGGAUCAUUACAAAUGUUGAGAGAAAUUCUCAAUUCUCAUUUUUUUCCCUCUCUUUUCUCAUGAAAAGGGGGGAGAAAUCCAAUGUGAUCAGUCUCGUUAUAACCCGCUUCUGGUUUGUAAAAAGACUAGUUGCGGGAAUGAAUACACUUUAUGAAUUUUUUUUUUUAAUAAUAUAAAAAAACAACUUUCAACAAUGGAUCUCUAGAUCGG
Molecule: unclassified non-coding RNA, 240 nt
Filed under: soil metagenome
Description: partial contains 5.8S ribosomal RNA, internal transcribed spacer 2, and large subunit ribosomal RNA
Source: RNAcentral